RNAcentral lists this ribosomal RNA (465 nucleotides) under uncultured bacterium. RNAcentral describes it as "SSU rRNA". It matches the Rfam family "Bacterial small subunit ribosomal RNA", at positions 26 to 518 of the family's 1533-position model. The record is from RNAcentral.
AGCCUGAACGCUGGCGGCGUGGCUAAGACAUGCAAGUCGCACGGGUGUAGCAAUACACCAGUGGCGGACGGGUGAGUAAUGUAUCGCUAACGUACCCUUCAGUCCGGGAUAGCCGAGGGAAACUUCGGGUAAUACCGGUUGACAUCACGAUCAGGCAUCUGAUUGUGCUCAAAGGCGUAAGCCGCUGAAGGAGCGGGCGAUAUCGUAUCAGCUUGUUGGCGGGUAACGGCCCACCAAGGCGACGACGCGUAGCCGGACUGAGGGGUUGGCCGGCCACAUUGGGACUGAGACACUGCCCAGACUCCUACGGGGGCUGCAGUAACGAAUCUUCCGCAAUGCACGCAAGUGUGACGGAGCGACGCCGCGUGUGGGACGAAGCCCCUCGGGGUGUAAACCACUGUCAGGGGAUAGAAAGUUCUGAUCAUCCCCAGAGGAAGGCACGGCUAACUCUGUGCCAGCAGCCGC